GAUAGCCCCGUACAUGAAAGGUAUAUUUAGAUGAUAAAUGAGUAGGGCGGGACACGUGAAAUCCUGUCUGAAUAUGGGGGGACCAUCCUCCAAGGCUAAAUACUCCUGAAAGACCGAUAGUGAACAAGUACUGUGAAGGAAAGGUGAAAAGCACUUCGAAUAGAAGGGUGAAAUAGAACCUGAAACCGUACGCCUACAAGCGGUCGGAGCCCACAAGUUGGGUGACGGCGUGCCUUUUGCAUAAUGAGCCUACGAGUUAAUUUUACUAGCGAGGUUAAGUACUUCAGGUACGGAGCCGGAGCGAAAGCGAGUCUGAAUAGGGCGCUUAGUUAGUAGGAUUAGACGCGAAACCUUGUGAUCUACCCAUGGGCAGGUUGAAGCUUUGGUAACACAAAGUGGAGGACCGAACCGGUUGACGUUGAAAAGUCUUCGGAUGACCUGUGGGUAGGGGUGAAAGGCCAAUCAAACUGGGAGAUAGCUCGUACUCCCCGAAAUGCAUUUAGGUGCAGCGUCGUGUAUAAGUUUAUUAGAGGUAGAGCUACUGAUUGGAUGCGGGGGAGUCAAAUCCUACCAAUUCCUGACAAACUCCGAAUGCUAAUAAAUGUUCCACGGCAGUGAGGGCGCGGGUGCUAAGGUCCGUGUCCGAGAGGGAAAGAACCCAGACCAACAGCUAAGGUCCCCAAAUCUCUAUUAAGUUGAAGCAACGCGGUUGGACUGCAUUGACAGCUAGGAUGUUGGCUUGGAAGCAGCCAUUCAUUUAAAGAGUGCGUAACAGCUCACUAGUCGAGCGGUCCGGCAUGGAUAAUAAUCGGGCAUAAAUAGAGUACCGAAGCUAUGGAUUUAUAAUUUUUGAAUUAUAUCUGGUAGGGGAGCAUUCUGUUUGCACAGAAGCAGGGUCGUGAGGCCUUGUGGAGCGGACAGAAAAGAAAAUGUAGGCAUAAGUAACGAUAAAGCGGGCGAGAAACCCGCUCACCGAAAGACUAAGGUUUCCUCAGCCAUGCUAAUCAGCUGAGGGUUAGUCGGGACCUAACGCGAACCCGAAAGGGGUAGUGGAUGGACAUUGGGUUAAUAUUCCCAUACUUGCUCACACUAAAAAGGGGACGGAGUGCCGUACUUACUGGAGACUGACGGAAUAGUCAAGACCUAGCCUUCGGGCGAAGUUGUUGUAGGGAAAGUGCUUCCAAGAAAAGCCGAAGUGAAGCAACCCGUACCAAAACCGACACAGGUAGUCGAGGAGAGAAUCCUAAGGUGCUAGAGUGAAUCAUGGUUAAGGAACUAGGCAAAAUAGUCUCGUAACUUCGGGAGAAGAGACGCCAGCAGCAAUGCUGGCCGCAGUAAAAAGGCCCAGGCGACUGUUUAUCAAAAACACAGGACUCUGCAAAAUCGAAAGAUGCAGUAUAGGGUCUGACACCUGCCCGGUGCUGGAAGGUUAAGGAAGGGCGUUAGCAGCAAUGCGAAGCGUUUAACUGAAGCCCCAGUAAACGGCGGCCGUAACUAUAACGGUCCUAAGGUAGCGAAAUUCCUUGUCGGGUAAGUUCCGACCUGCACGAAUGGUGUAACGAUCUGGGCACUGUCUCAACCAUGAGCUCUGUGAAAUUGUAGUCUCGGUGAAGAUGCCGAGUACCCGCAAUGGGACGAAAAGACCCUGUGAACCUUUACUAUAACUUCGUAUUGACUUUGAGUAAGUAAUGUGUAGGAUAGGUGGGAGACUUUGAAGCAGGCACGCUAGUGUUUGUGGAGUCAACGUUGAAAUACCACCCUUUACUUACUUGGAGCCUAACUUCUUUUAGAAGGACAUUGCGUGGUGGGUAGUUUGACUGGGGUGGUCGCCUCCAAAAGAGUAACGGAGGCUUUCAAAGGUACCCUCAGCACGCUUGGUAACCGUGCGUAGAGUGUAAUGGCAUAAGGGUGCUUGACUGUGAGACCUACAAGUCGAUCAGGUGCGAAAGCAGGACAUAGUGAUCCGGUGGUUCCGUAUGGAAGGGCCAUCGCUCAUAGGAUAAAAGGUACUCCGGGGAUAACAGGCUAGUCUCCCCCAAGAGCUCAUAUCGACGGGGAGGUUCGGCACCUCGAUGUCGGCUCGUCACAUCCUGGGGCUGGAGAAGGUCCCAAGGG
RNAcentral lists this ribosomal RNA (2115 nucleotides) under Chryseobacterium sp. OV259. Its description in RNAcentral is "bacterial LSU rRNA". It matches the Rfam family "Bacterial large subunit ribosomal RNA", at positions 366 to 2571 of the family's 2925-position model. The record is from RNAcentral. Lineage: Bacteria; Pseudomonadati; Bacteroidota; Flavobacteriia; Flavobacteriales; Weeksellaceae.